RNAcentral lists this ribosomal RNA (468 nucleotides) under uncultured bacterium. RNAcentral describes it as "partial 16S ribosomal RNA". It matches the Rfam family "Bacterial small subunit ribosomal RNA", at positions 28 to 507 of the family's 1533-position model. The record is from RNAcentral.
GACGAACGCUGGCGGCGUGCUUAACACAUGCAAGUCGAACGGAAAGGCCCUGCUUUUGUUGGGUGCUCGAGUGGCGAACGGGUGAGUAACACGUGAGUAACCUGCCCUUGACUUUGGGAUAACUUCAGGAAACUGGGGCUAAUACCGGAUAGGAGCUCCUGCUGCAUGGUGGGGGUUGGAAAGUUUCGGCGGUUGGGGAUGGACUCGCGGCUUAUCAGCUUGUUGGUGGGGUAGUGGCUUACCAAGGCUUUGACGGGUAGCCGGCCUGAGAGGGUGACCGGCCACAUUGGGACUGAGAUACGGCCCAGACUCCUACGGGAGGCAGCAGUGGGGAAUAUUGCACAAUGGGCGGAAGCCUGAUGCAGCAACGCCGCGUGCGGGAUGACGGCCUUCGGGUUGUAAACCGCUUUAGCCUGUGACGAAGCGUGAGUGACGGUAAUGGGUAAAGAAGCACCGGCUAACUACGUG